GACGAACGCUGGCGGUGUGCCUCAAACAUGCAAGUCGAGGGAGGGUUGGCGACUAGCUUGCUAGUCGUUCAACUCUACCGGCAAACGGGUGAGUAACACGUGGGAAACCUGCCCUGAAGACGGGGACAACUUCGGGAAACCGGGGCUAAUACCCGAUACCCUCCACGGGGGGCAUCCUCUGUGGAGGAAAGGUUCCGCAAGGUUCGCUUCAGGAGGGUCCCGCGGCCUAUCAGCUAGUUGGUGGGGUAACGGCCUACCGAAGGCGAUGACGGGUAGCUGGUCUGAGAGGACGAUCAGCCACACUGGGACUGAGACACGGCCCAGACUCCUACGGGAGGCAGCAGUGGGGAAUCUUGCGCAAUGCGCGAAAGCGUGACGCAGCAACGCCGCGUGA
Molecule: ribosomal RNA, 394 nt
Filed under: uncultured bacterium
Lineage: Bacteria
Description: bacterial SSU rRNA
Rfam family: Bacterial small subunit ribosomal RNA
Source: RNAcentral